UAGCAUAAUCAUUUGUUUUUUAAUUGAGAACUGGCAUGAAUGGUUUAAUAAAUGAUGUUUUCUUGGAUUUAAUUAAAGAAUUUUUAGUCUAAAUAAAAAUAUUUAGAUAAAAUUAGGGGACGAUAAGACCCUAAAAGCUUUAUUUAAGGUGAAAAACAGAGAAUUUUGUAAUGAGCGUCUUGUGGUACUGAGGAUUUUGCUGGGGUAGUAAUUUUAUAAAAACUAAAGAAAGAGAUUGCACUAAGGAAGUGGGAAUUAGGUCCUUUAUAUUAGGAUAGUUAGUUCUAGUUACUUUAGGGAUAACAGCGUAAUGAUUUUGGAGAGAUCUUAUUGAUAAAAUCGAUUGCGACCUCGAUGUUGAAUUAAAAGAUCUUUGUGAAGUAGAAAGUACGGGAGAAGGUUUGUUCAACCUUUAAAUUUUUACAUGAUUU
Molecule: ribosomal RNA, 431 nt
Filed under: Hyperiopsis sp. BOLD:ADG6719
Lineage: Eukaryota; Metazoa; Arthropoda; Malacostraca; Amphipoda; Hyperiopsidae
Description: partial 16S ribosomal RNA
Rfam family: Bacterial large subunit ribosomal RNA (bases 299-431)
Source: RNAcentral